Molecule: long non-coding RNA, 2297 nt
Organism: Oreochromis niloticus (Nile tilapia)
Lineage: Eukaryota; Metazoa; Chordata; Actinopteri; Cichliformes; Cichlidae
Exons: 3
Source: RefSeq, a predicted model, not a curated record
AUAAACACAUCAUCUCGUUAGCGGAAAGGGAGGAGGAGGGGGAGGUUGGCUGUGGAGUGAGAAGACCAGAUUCCCACCAAGUGAGAGGCCCCAGGGAUCUGCAGCUGAAGACACCCUGACAGAAAGCAGAGGCCCCCAUAUCUCCCAGGAGGAAGGGUCAGGAGGACAUCUGCUUCAUGUCAGCUGGCAGUAUAGUACUUGUCUCAGGGGUUAUCGGGCUCCCUCUAUCAGGCUGUGGUUGGAACAUGGACCUCUCCUUCCUGAAGGAAACCCUCCGAACCAGCGUGUCGACAGCUUGAGAAGGUGCGACGGAGAAAGAAAAGAGGAAAGUCUGGAAGGAAGACGACAGAGGCAAGGAUGAGUAGGAGAGAAAUACAGCAAAUUACUGUGUUUUUUAGAUAUGGUAGGACCAACACCCUGUAUUGUAUUGUAGUUUACCCUACUAAAUUUUUCCAUGUUACUUUGCUGAUAUUAUUAAAUGGAAAGACCAACAGAAUAUUUAUAUUUAGACUUUAGAUGCUGAAGAAAACUCUCAAUUUUAAUUGUUGGUUUCAAUAUAUAAAUAGAAAAUGUGCACAAUUAUUGAUAUUAUUUAUCAACAUAUCUAUUUAUUUUUAUAUAAUUAUCUGAUAAGUAUUUGCGGAAGUCCCUCCAUAAUGAUAAAAGUUCCACAUGUUGUCUAUUUAUCUAUAAGUCUGAUCUAGUCAGCUCACAGGACAAAAUCCAUGAAAGUUUAAUAUCAAGCUUCCAACAAUACUGGAAAAUAAUAAGGGAAAAAUAAGCAUAAUCUCAUAUAUCUUACAGCAUAAGUAGACAUUACUCUUGCAUUAACAAAUGGUGAGUUAAGGAGCUGUUAAUAAUGAAAUGGCAUAUUAUUUAUUGUCCUUGCCAUCACCUUUAAAAACCCAUUAAAUUUCAAAACAUAACAAACUUAAUAUUUGUAUUGUAUUCGUCUAGUGAUGAGUACAAAAACUGAAAGGCAGUACUUUAGCCUUUUAAGGAUUUAUUGAUAGUCUAUAUGUCUACCAUCAACUGGAUUACAUUAUUGCUGACAAAGACGAGGAUAAAGGUAAGCAGAGAGAGAGAGAAGUAUACUGUACUCUGUAUAUCCCCUCUUUGUAAGUCAAAGUUUGCACUUCAUCUGGACUGCUGUAGUGCCCCUGUGUGUAUGCAGUGGUUGAAAAUAAGUACAGAGACACAAUAGUGGAAGAGAGAGUGAGAAUGUUAUAUACAGUAUAACAGUUGAUGCCACACUGCCUACCAAGAUUGCACUUAGACAAGAUAGUUGAAGUAAAGUCAAGUACUUAAAGACCUUAUAAGAGAAAAGAAGACAAAAGUAAGAGUGAUUGAGAGAAAGAAGGAGAAUGAGAAAAAGGCAAUGCAGACAAGCUGCAGUACGUGAAAAUACCGUUAGUGAUGUGAAAGCUUCAGAUGAAGUGGAGCGAAGUGAGCCCCAAAGCCAGGGCUAAGUGAGCAGAUUAGAGGGACCGCACAGUGGUAUCACUCUUCCACUGCAUUUGCUGUCCUACUGGCAAAGGUCAAGCACGUACUACAGCCACACAGUCUGCAGUAUGUACACACAGUCACUACAGAUAAAAAAGUGUUAAUGAAAUAACAUCAUCAAUUUGAGCCAAUAAAAAGGCUCUUGCUUGAAACACACAUGGCAAUGUGGCAUAUUGUAAAGUUUGUAGUUUUAUGCCACAAUAUGACAAUGACCCCUUUAAACAUUCUCAGCUCACAUAGCUGCUUCUGCAAAACCAGGUAUAAAAUCUAUGCUGUUAUCAGCUCCAGUGCGUUUGCAUUUUACAAACCAGAGUAAAAGUGUAGUCAUAAUGCCAUUCUUAUUAUCUCAAUUUCUGAUACAUGACAUUAUGAGGAAACAGAUUAUUAUGAGAAACCAAUUAAAAUGGCAUAAGAAUCGAAAGGUUUCAAUGCAAAAUGUGUGUUGGCCCGUUUCUGACAAAAUACUUGUAACUUGCCCAAGUUAAGACCUGAUGAAAGACAUUGCCAUUUCUUUUAAAUGUGUAUAGUACUGUGUAGUUGAAAAUUAUUUUUGCUACAUAACAUAAUGUCAUAUAUUAUUUUCUUCAUUCAGUACAUCCACGGUGUUAACAGAACAAUUUUUGUUUCAUCACUACAUGAUUGAAAAGUGCUAAAGAACCCAGCUGACCCCCAGCUACACAACCCUGGCUCAAGUUCCUUUUUCUUCAGUUUUAUAGCUUCUAUGCCUUGUUCUGGAGACAGUAUGAUCGGGUGCAAGAGGUUCCGUUACUUUUGUAAUGUGUGAACUUUAUAAU